UCUAGCCUGCCAGUGACAUUUGUUCAACGGCCGCGGUAUCCUAACCGUGCGAAGGUAGCGUAAUCACUUGUUCUUUAAAUGAGGACUAGUAUGAAAGGCAUCACGAGAGUUAUACUGUCUCCUUUCUCUAAUCAGUGAAACUAAUCCCCCCGUGAAGAAGCGGGGAUAAGAAUAUAAGACGAGAAGACCCUAUGGAGCUUUAAACAAAUAAUAUAUGCCCUUUUAGCUUCAAAUUUCAGAAAAAUCUCUUAUCUUGGUAUAAUAACUAAUAGUUUUUGGUUGGGGUGACCACGGAAUAAAAAACAACUUCCGCAGUGAAAGAUUCUCCCUCACUAAAUUAAGGACUACGGCCCUAAACAUCAAUAAAUUGACAUAAUUGACCCAACAUGUUGAUCAAUGAACCAAGUUACCCUAGGGAUAACAGCGCAAUCCACUUUAAGAGCUCUUAUCGACAAGUGGGUUUACGACCUCGAUGUUGGAUCAGGGUAUCCCAGUGGUGCAGCCGCUACUAAAGGUUCGUUUGUUCAACGAUUAA
RNAcentral lists this ribosomal RNA (535 nucleotides) under Adenomera hylaedactyla A. Its description in RNAcentral is "partial 16S ribosomal RNA". It matches the Rfam family "Bacterial large subunit ribosomal RNA", at positions 1900 to 2591 of the family's 2925-position model. The record is from RNAcentral. Lineage: Eukaryota; Metazoa; Chordata; Amphibia; Anura; Leptodactylidae.